Molecule: long non-coding RNA, 356 nt
Filed under: Brassica napus (rape)
Lineage: Eukaryota; Viridiplantae; Streptophyta; Magnoliopsida; Brassicales; Brassicaceae
Description: long non-coding RNA (BNAP_LNC022472)
Source: RNAcentral
UUUCCCACCAGUAUAAAAUUUGAAUUACAUGGAUUAAGAAAGAGGAAUUUAUUACGAAUAGGUUGACCUUCUUCUUCUUUUUUUGGUCAUACAGGUUGAGCUUCUUAAUUUGCAACUUGCUGGUCUUAAGUCAGUCCUCUAGGCCACGGAGUCAAGUCCUGCGCUUUUAGAAUACAGACUUUUCGUUAUAUGAUUAUUCUAUGUAAGAUUUGUCGAGUAAUAACUAUUGGCAUUGACUCAGAUCGGCAAUGGAAGAAAAAGCAGCACAACAAAUAUCUUUUUUUUUUCUUCUUAAUGACAAAUAUCUUUCUUUCUUUUUGAGAAAAAAUGACAAAUAUCUUUGAUCAGAAAAAAUG